Molecule: ribosomal RNA, 301 nt
Filed under: uncultured bacterium
Lineage: Bacteria
Description: partial 16S ribosomal RNA
Rfam family: Bacterial small subunit ribosomal RNA
Source: RNAcentral
CAGUCGCCGCGGUAAUACAGAGGGUGCGAGCGUUAAUCGGAAUUACUGGGCGUAAAGCGAGUGUAGGUGGCUCAUUAAGUCACAUGUGAAAUCCCCGGGCUUAACCUGGGAACUGCAUGUGAUACUGGUGGUGCUAGAAUAUGUGAGAGGGAAGUAGAAUUCCAGGUGUAGCGGUGAAAUGCGUAGAGAUCUGGAGGAAUACCGAUGGCGAAGGCAGCUUCCUGGCAUAAUAUUGACACUGAGAUUCGAAAGCGUGGGUAGCAAACAGGAUUAGAUACCCCUGUAGUCCCUGUCUCUUAUA